RNAcentral lists this ribosomal RNA (407 nucleotides) under uncultured bacterium. RNAcentral's name for it is "partial 16S ribosomal RNA". It matches the Rfam family "Bacterial small subunit ribosomal RNA", at positions 30 to 526 of the family's 1533-position model. The record is from RNAcentral.
AUUGAACGCUAGCGGGAUGCCUUACACAUGCAAGUCGAACGGAGUGGCGAACGGGUGAGUAAUGUAUCGGAACGUGCCCAGUAGCGGGGGAUAACUACGCGCAAGCGUAGCUAAUAACGCAUACUUUUUGAGCGGACGAUAACGGAUUGCCUAGGUGGUGGGGUAACGGCUCACCAAGGCGACGAUCCUUAGCUGGUUUGAGAGGACGACCAGCCAAACUGGAACUGAGACCCGGCCCAGACUCCUACGGGAGGGAGCAUUGGGGAAUGUUGGACAAUGGGGGAAACCCUGAUCCAGCCAUCCCGCGUGUGCGAUGAAGGCCUUCGGGUUGUAAAGCACUUUUGGCAGGAAAGCGGUACCUGAAGAAUAAGCACCGGCUAACUACGUGCCAGCAGCCGCGGUAAUAC